GGGUUGUGAGGUUAAGCGACUAAGCGUACACGGUGGAUGCCCUGGCAGUCAGAGGCGAUGAAGGACGUGCUAAUCUGCGAUAAGCGUCGGUGAGGUGAUAUGAACCGUUAUAACCGGCGAUUUCCGAAUGGGGAAACCCAGUGUGUUUCGACACACUAUCAUUAACUGAAUCCAUAGGUUAAUGAGGCGAACCGGGGGAACUGAAACAUCUAAGUACCCCGAGGAAAAGAAAUCAACCGAGAUUCCCCCAGUAGCGGCGAGCGAACGGGGAGGAGCCCAGAGCCUGAAUCAGUGUGUGUGUUAGUGGAAGCGUCUGGAAAGGCGCGCGAUACAGGGUGACAGCCCCGUACACAAAAAUGCACAUGCUGUGAGCUCGAUGAGUAGGGCGGGACACGUGGUAUCCUGUCUGAAUAUGGGGGGACCAUCCUCCAAGGCUAAAUACUCCUGACUGACCGAUAGUGAACCAGUACCGUGAGGGAAAGGCGAAAAGAACCCCGGCGAGGGGAGUGAAAAAGAACCUGAAACCGUGUACGUACAAGCAGUGGGAGCCUCUUAAUGGGGUGACUGCGUACCUUUUGUAUAAUGGGUCAGCGACUUAUAUUCUGUAGCAAGGUUAACCGAAUAGGGGAGCCGAAGGGAAACCGAGUCUUAACUGGGCGUUAAGUUGCAGGGUAUAGACCCGAAACCCGGUGAUCUAGCCAUGGGCAGGUUGAAGGUUGGGUAACACUAACUGGAGGACCGAACCGACUAAUGUUGAAAAAUUAGCGGAUGACUUGUGGCUGGGGGUGAAAGGCCAAUCAAACCGGGAGAUAGCUGGUUCUCCCCGAAAGCUAUUUAGGUAGCGCCUCGUGAAUUCAUCUCCGGGGGUAGAGCACUGUUUCGGCAAGGGGGUCAUCCCGACUUACCAACCCGAUGCAAACUGCGAAUACCGGAGAAUGUUAUCACGGGAGACACACGGCGGGUGCUAACGUCCGUCGUGAAGAGGGAAACAACCCAGACCGCCAGCUAAGGUCCCAAAGUCAUGGUUAAGUGGGAAACGAUGUGGGAAGGCCCAGACAGCCAGGAUGUUGGCUUAGAAGCAGCCAUCAUUUAAAGAAAGCGUAAUAGCUCACUGGUCGAGUCGGCCUGCGCGGAAGAUGUAACGGGGCUAAACCAUGCACCGAAGCUGCGGCAGCGACACUAUGUGUUGUUGGGUAGGGGAGCGUUCUGUAAGCCUGUGAAGGUGGCCUGUGAGGGUUGCUGGAGGUAUCAGAAGUGCGAAUGCUGACAUAAGUAACGAUAAAGCGGGUGAAAAGCCCGCUCGCCGGAAGACCAAGGGUUCCUGUCCAACGUUAAUCGGGGCAGGGUGAGUCGACCCCUAAGGCGAGGCCGAAAGGCGUAGUCGAUGGGAAACAGGUUAAUAUUCCUGUACUUGGUGUUACUGCGAAGGGGGGACGGAGAAGGCUAUGUUGGCCGGGCGACGGUUGUCCCGGUUUAAGCGUGUAGGCUGGUUUUCCAGGCAAAUCCGGAAAAUCAAGGCUGAGGCGUGAUGACGAGGCACUACGGUGCUGAAGCGACAAAUGCCCUGCUUCCAGGAAAAGCCUCUAAGCAUCAGGUAACAUCAAAUCGUACCCCAAACCGACACAGGUGGUCAGGUAGAGAAUACCAAGGCGCUUGAGAGAACUCGGGUGAAGGAACUAGGCAAAAUGGUGCCGUAACUUCGGGAGAAGGCACGCUGAUAUGUAGGUGAAGCGACUUGCUCGUGGAGCUGAAAUCAGUCGAAGAUACCAGCUGGCUGCAACUGUUUAUUAAAAACACAGCACUGUGCAAACACGAAAGUGGACGUAUACGGUGUGACGCCUGCCCGGUGCCGGAAGGUUAAUUGAUGGGGUUAGCGGCAACGCGAAGCUCUUGAUCGAAGCCCCGGUAAACGGCGGCCGUAACUAUAACGGUCCUAAGGUAGCGAAAUUCCUUGUCGGGUAAGUUCCGACCUGCACGAAUGGCGUAAUGAUGGCCAGGCUGUCUCCACCCGAGACUCAGUGAAAUUGAACUCGCUGUGAAGAUGCAGUGUACCCGCGGCAAGACGGAAAGACCCCGUGAACCUUUACUAUAGCUUGACACUGAACAUUGAGCCUUGAUGUGUAGGAUAGGUGGGAGGCUUUGAAGUGUGGACGCCAGUCUGCAUGGAGCCGACCUUGAAAUACCACCCUUUAAUGUUUGAUGUUCUAACGUUGGCCCGUAAUCCGGGUUGCGGACAGUGUCUGGUGGGUAGUUUGACUGGGGCGGUCUCCUCCUAAAGAGUAACGGAGGAGCACGAAGGUUGGCUAAUCCUGGUCGGACAUCAGGAGGUUAGUGCAAUGGCAUAAGCCAGCUUGACUGCGAGCGUGACGGCGCGAGCAGGUGCGAAAGCAGGUCAUAGUGAUCCGGUGGUUCUGAAUGGAAGGGCCAUCGCUCAACGGAUAAAAGGUACUCCGGGGAUAACAGGCUGAUACCGCCCAAGAGUUCAUAUCGACGGCGGUGUUUGGCACCUCGAUGUCGGCUCAUCACAUCCUGGGGCUGAAGUAGGUCCCAAGGGUAUGGCUGUUCGCCAUUUAAAGUGGUACGCGAGCUGGGUUUAGAACGUCGUGAGACAGUUCGGUCCCUAUCUGCCGUGGGCGCUGGAGAACUGAGGGGGGCUGCUCCUAGUACGAGAGGACCGGAGUGGACGCAUCACUGGUGUUCGGGUUGUCAUGCCAAUGGCACUGCCCGGUAGCUAAAUGCGGAAGAGAUAAGUGCUGAAAGCAUCUAAGCACGAAACUUGCCCCGAGAUGAGUUCUCCCUGAGACUUAGAGUCUCCUGAAGGAACGUUGAAGACGACGACGUUGAUAGGCCGGGUGUGUAAGCGCAGCGAUGCGUUGAGCUAACCGGUACUAAUGAACCGUGAGGCUUAACCUUACAACGCCGAAG
This 2925-nucleotide ribosomal RNA is filed under the name Escherichia coli. Its description in RNAcentral is "bacterial LSU rRNA". It matches the Rfam family "Bacterial large subunit ribosomal RNA". Lineage: Bacteria; Pseudomonadati; Pseudomonadota; Gammaproteobacteria; Enterobacterales; Enterobacteriaceae. The record is from RNAcentral.